This 253-nucleotide ribosomal RNA is filed under the name uncultured bacterium. Its description in RNAcentral is "partial 16S ribosomal RNA". It matches the Rfam family "Bacterial small subunit ribosomal RNA", at positions 524 to 776 of the family's 1533-position model. The record is from RNAcentral.
GACGGAGGGGGCAAGCGUUGUCCGGACUCACUGGGCGUAAAGGGUGCGUAGGCGGUUGUGUGCGUCGGCGCUGAAAUCACGGGGCUUAACUCCGUGGCGCGUGCCGAUACGACACGACUUGAGGCUCUGAGAGGGUGGCGGAACUCCUGGUGUAGUGGUGAAAUGCGUAGAGAUCAGGAAGAACACCCGUGGCGCAAGCGGCCACCUGGCAGAGUACUGACGCUGAGGCACGAAAGCGUGGGGAGCGAACCGG